AUAUAAUUGAGAAAGCAAUUCCCAACACCGUUUCAGUUUCUCUCUUCUUUUACUCUCGUAUCAUCGCUUCCCUUCUCCUUCAGUUUCUCUCUUACCUUCUCCUUCAGUUUCAAACAAAAAACCUUCAGCCAUCGCGCCGCCAUGCCUCCAACGGCAGUCGCUACGGCUAUAAACACAAAAACCAACGCAGAGAUGAUGACUCUCCACAGCGGCGAUGAAGAAGAUGACGGUGGCGCCGCCGCACCUAGGAAAUGGCUGGAAGGAGGCGAAUCUGAAAGGGGUCGAGUGGAAAUCAUAACGGAGAAUCUCCAAAAAAUCAAGGAUUCCGCGAUAUGAAGAGCGAAUCGAGCAACAACAACCUUCAAUCGGCGGAAGUGACGGUGAUGAGCAGCGGUGGAAAGCUUUUCAGGCGCCAAGAUUCUUCUAUUGGAGUUGGAGCACCUGUACGUGCAAAGAUGAGAGCCGACAGUAUCACAGAGGCAGCUGUUGCAUCAUCCUUAUGCAGUCAAGGACCGUAGAUGCACCUAUUAGGGGAAAAGAGAAGAGUCCAAAAAGUACUGAGUUCUGAAGUAAACAACGACGAUGCUACUCAGCAAGUGGUGUCUCUUGCCAAACAAAUUGGUGGUGUUACUAUCCUAAAAAAGGAAAAUCCGAUAUAAUAAGAGAUGGUGACACAGGUAUAAAAGACUAGAAGUCUUGUCUGCAUUUACAAAUGCUGUAAGUAUUCUGAAUUCCCGUUUCUGUUGCACUUGUUACCUUGUAUCAUUGUGAUUAGGUUGCCUGAUGUUGUCAUCAAUUUACAUUUUGAUGCUUGAGCUAUACAACUGAUCAGUGUUGUCAAAAUCGCGAGUCAACUCGCUGAAUCGCACGAGUUUGCGCUUCACCCAUAGAUGACCGAGCAAAAUCGUGAUCAGAAUCGCCGGAGAAGAGGAUCGGCGCCGGAUCGUCGUGCUGGAGCGGUGAAUCGCAGGAACGGCGUGCGUUCCGAUUUGAGGAGGUUCCGGGUCGGGUCACGAAACCCAAUUUUUUUUUUUUUUGGGAACUGUAUUAAAAGCCACAGCCACGUUCCCUUUUCCUUUUUUUGCACAAGACUCAUUAAAAGCCACGUAUUAAAAGCCACCUUUCAUUUUCCUAUUUUUUUUAAUUAAACCUCUUUCUUGACCUUCCACCCACGUUUCAUUUUCUUUUUUUUUUAAUAAAUAAUUAAAACUAACUUUCUUUCUUAACCUUCCACCCACGUUUCAUUUUCUUUUUUUUUUUAAUAAAUAAUUAAAACUAACUUUCUUUCUUAACCUUCCACCCACCGUCUCAUUUUCUUUUUUUUUUAAUAAAUAGUUAAAACUUUCUUUCUUUCUUAACCUUCCACCCACCGUCUAUUUUUUUUUUUUUAAUAAAUAACUAAAUCUUUCUAAAUUUGAAGCAAGCAGUUGAAGAGUUAUGGACACAUUUUUCCCUCCAAGUGAACAAACAUUUCCCUCCAUCUCUCACUAUAAAAUCAAAUUAUCUUCCUCUCUAUCACCAUACUAUCAGUUACCUCUUUGUUUUGUUUCCCUCUUUUUUUUCACCCUCAUUUGGUCAUGCUGAAGAUGAAAUUGAUGAGAAUGAAGAUCAUAUUCCCUGAUUUAGGAUUGAAUAAUAUCAUAGAUAUCUAGAGUAGUAGUUUUACAUUAGGAUUAAGUUAUUUGCUUCUGUUUGAGUUAUUUGCUUCUGUUUGAACUUAUUUGAUUUGUUUUGUUUCAAGUUAUGUGAUUUGUUUCGGUUUGAGUUCCAUGUUGAAUUGUUUGAGUUUUGAAUUUUAAUCUUUAUGUUUGAGGUUACGAUCCUACGGUUUUGUAUUACGAUCCUUUUCCGAUCUAUGGUCAUCUAUUUUGGUAGGAUCUUACGAUCCGUGUUACGAUUAUCCGAGUUACGAACUACUACCCUUCUCCCGAUCCUAAUCCGAUUUACGGGUUUCACAACAGUGCAACUGAUAAUCAUUUAAAGAAUAUCCAUAUUCUUUUACCUCCUAUGAUGCUUGUGCAUCUCAAACCGGACAUAUAAUUGGUCUAGGUCUUAGAUCAGGUUUUCUGAAUCUUUCGUGAGGUUUAGGGGGGCAUUUGAAAGAGCUUAUUUGAACUUAUUUUCUGAUGCAACUUCAUGCAAGUACUUGUGUAAGUAUCCUGAAGAGCUUGUAAAAUUAGUGUAGUGUAAUGGACAUACAAUGCAAGCUAAUUUUCAACCGACGUCCAAUGAAAAUCAAUUGGUCUGUUAUGUCAGUCCACUUUUGUAACUGCAUCUAGGAAUUAAUGAUAUGAAAUGGAAAAAUAGUGAGCUCUCAUUAGACGCCAAUGCAAAACCGGUUUAUUCGGAAAGUCAUUUAAACUCAAUGUUUUGCUGCUUAACCUACAUGUAAACCUGCUAACACGCUCUCUCUCCUCGGUCUCUAACCAAUUUUCCACCACCUCACAUGUGCAUACCUCCUAUCAACUUGCUGCUACUUGUCCUCUAUUUCUUUUCUAGUAUAAACUUUUAAUAUCCUAGGCCAUGUAAAACCUGCUGCUACUUGUCCUCUAUUUCUUUUCUUCUAUCUAAUAUUUCACUAUUAUCAAAUUUUAAGUAUACUCUCUCCGAUCCCUCUUAUAAGACUUAUUUGAUGAUUUGUUUGAUCCUUCUGGGGGAUUUUAACAGUAAGCAUGUUUAAUCACUGAACUAUGUUGACAGUGCUUUGAUGUUAUACAUUGUAUACUCUGUCAUGUUCACUUUGCUAGCUUCAAUUCAGGCCUUGCAUAGUUGCAUCAUUGGAUCGGAAUCUUCAAAUAUUUGGCUCUGGAGUGAGAAUUGUUGCCUGCUAUUAAUGCUUGAUCUAAAUGAAGCAUGUAUUGUAUUUAGAAAAAUAUUAUAUCAAAUAAUCUAUGUAUGGUUUGUAUUGCAGGUGUGUGGUUGCAUUUACUUCUGAUAUAAUAUUUUUUAUAACAAAACACUCACUUGUUAGGAUUAUGAAACAAUUGCUGCUCAUUUUUCUGUCUGAUAUUGCUAUUGCAGAGAAUUUCAAUACUCAGUUUAAUGUAUUGCUCUGAAUGGUGAAUGCUAUUUAUUAGUCCUUGCAUAAUUGGUGAAUAAUGUUUGGGAUGAUGCUGCUUUUAAAUUUUAUGUGCAGGUAGUGAUGAUUAUUAGUCAAAUUCAUAUAUGGUGUUUCUUAUUUUAAUUGUAAGUUAUAAUGCUGAGGCUGUUUGGUUGCAUAAAUGAAUUGAAAGUAUUUGCUUAUAAUGUUUGGGAUUUAAGAGCACGUUGUAAUAAUUCUGUAGAUAAUAGAAGUAGUUUUCUUCUUAUACAUAUUAUUUAGAUUCUUAAUGUUUGGGAUUUGACCUUAAUAUUAAUUUGCUUCUAAUUAAUUAGAUUCUAAUCAUCAAUAUUAUUGUUAAU
Molecule: long non-coding RNA, 3402 nt
Organism: Vicia villosa (hairy vetch)
Lineage: Eukaryota; Viridiplantae; Streptophyta; Magnoliopsida; Fabales; Fabaceae
Exons: 6
Source: RefSeq, a predicted model, not a curated record